Molecule: long non-coding RNA, 289 nt
Organism: Gigantopelta aegis
Lineage: Eukaryota; Metazoa; Mollusca; Gastropoda; Neomphalida; Peltospiridae
Exons: 2
Source: RefSeq, a predicted model, not a curated record
CGACGUGUCUUUGGUAUCCGGGUUAUCAAAAAUGGAGUAUACAAUCAUAUUUUUCUAAAUCAAUAUCCAAAAUCGCCUAAAAUGUUCUGUCCAACAGGGUUGGGAUCUAGCUCAGUCGGUAGAGCACUUGUCUAACGUGCUUGUGUCGGAGGAUCGAAACCCCUUGGUGGACCCAGUCUCUGACUGCAUUUUUUCUCUCGUCCCAACCAGUGCUCAUGAAUGGUAUAUUAAAAGCUGUGAUAUAUAAGCUGUCCUGUGUGAAAAAGUGCAAAUAAACGAUCCCUUGCUG